Molecule: ribosomal RNA, 253 nt
Filed under: uncultured bacterium
Lineage: Bacteria
Description: partial 16S ribosomal RNA
Rfam family: Bacterial small subunit ribosomal RNA
Source: RNAcentral
UACGAAGGGGGCUAGCGUUGCUCGGAAUCACUGGGCGUAAAGCGCACGUAGGCGGCUUUCUAAGUCAGGGGUGAAAUCCUGGAGCUCAACUCCAGAACUGCCUUUGAUACUGGAGAGCUAGAGUCCGGAAGAGGUGAGUGGAACUGCGAGUGUAGAGGUGAAAUUCGUAGAUAUUCGCAAGAACACCAGUGGCGAAGGCGGCUCACUGGUCCGGUACUGACGCUUAGGUGCGAAAGCGUGGGGAGCAAACAGG